This 221-nucleotide ribosomal RNA is filed under the name Chlamydia pneumoniae. Its description in RNAcentral is "partial 16S ribosomal RNA". It matches the Rfam family "Bacterial small subunit ribosomal RNA", at positions 1319 to 1533 of the family's 1533-position model. Lineage: Bacteria; Pseudomonadati; Chlamydiota; Chlamydiia; Chlamydiales; Chlamydiaceae. The record is from RNAcentral.
CAUGAAGUCGGAAUUGCUAGUAAUGGCGUGUCAGCCAUAACGCCGUGAAUACGUUCUCGGGCCUUGUACACACCGCCCGUCACAUCAUGGGAGUUGGUUUUACCUUAAGUCGUUGACUCAACCUAUUUAUAGGAGAGAGGCGCCCAAGGUGAGGCUGAUGACUGGGAUGAAGUCGUAACAAGGUAGCCCUACCGGAAGGUGGGGCUGGAUCACCUCCUUUU